Molecule: long non-coding RNA, 437 nt
Filed under: Homo sapiens (human)
Lineage: Eukaryota; Metazoa; Chordata; Mammalia; Primates; Hominidae
Description: non-protein coding lnc-CXorf40B-2:1
Source: RNAcentral
GCCCUCCGCCUGCUCCCAGCCAUGGUGGCCUGGCGCUCGGCGUUCCUUGUCUGCCUCGCUUUCUCCUUGGCCACCCUGGUCCAGCGAGGAUCUGGGGACUUUGAUGAUUUUAACCUGGAGGAUGCAGUGAAAGAAACUUCCUCAGUAAAGCUGCCAGGUUGAUAGUUGUGGAACCAAGGCUUGGAGCCCUCAAGGAUCAUGCUCAGGCUGUGGAACUCCCUGGACCACGUGCCAUCUCCAGCAGAUCUGGGUGCAAGCCCAGGUUCACUAAUCACCAGGUCACAUGUGAGACCAUGUCCACCUCACCACCCUCAGCCUCCAAAGAAAAAGCCAUGGGACCACACCACCACCACCACAACCAAUAGGCCAGGAACCACCAGAGCUCCGGCAAAACCUCCAGGUAGUGGAUUGGACUUGGCUGAUGCUUUGGAUGAUCA